RNAcentral lists this ribosomal RNA (497 nucleotides) under uncultured bacterium. RNAcentral describes it as "partial 16S ribosomal RNA". It matches the Rfam family "Bacterial small subunit ribosomal RNA", at positions 28 to 507 of the family's 1533-position model. The record is from RNAcentral.
GAUGAACGCUGGCGGCGUGCCUAAUACAUGCAAGUCGAGCGAACGGACGAGAAGCUUGCUUCUCUGAUGUUAGCGGCGGACGGGUGAGUAACACGUGGAUAACCUACCUAUAAGACUGGGAUAAAUUCGGGAAACCGGAGCUAAUACCGGAUAAUAUUUUGAACCGCAUGGUUCAAAAGUAAAAGACGGUCUUGCUGUCACUUAUAGAUGGAUCCGCGCUGCAUUAGCUAGUUGGUAAGGUAACGGCUUACCAAGGCAACGAUGCAUAGCCGACCUGAGAGGGUGAUCGGCCACACUGGAACUGAGCCACGGUCCAGACUCCUACGGGAGGCAGCAGUAGGGAAUCUUCCGCAAUGGGCGAAAGCCUGACGGGGCAACGCCGCGUGAGUGAUGAAGGUCUUCGGAUCGUAAAACUCUGUUAUUAGGGAAGAACAUAUGUGUAAGUAACUGUGCACAUCUUGACGGUACCUAAUCAGAAAGCCACGGCUAACUACGUG